GCAAGUCGAGCGGUAACAGAAAUUAGCUUGCUAAUUUGCUGACGAGCGGCGGACGGGUGAGUAAUGCUUGGGAAUAUGCCUUUGAGUGGGGGACAACAGUUGGAAACGACUGCUAAUACCGCAUAAUGUCUACGGACCAAAGGGGGGGAUCUUCGGACCUCUCGCGUCAAGAUAUGCCUAGGUGGGAUUAGCUAGUUGGUGAGGUAAUGGCUCACCAAGGCGACGAUCCCUAGCUGGUCUGAGAGGAUGAUC
Molecule: ribosomal RNA, 252 nt
Filed under: uncultured bacterium
Lineage: Bacteria
Description: partial 16S ribosomal RNA
Rfam family: Bacterial small subunit ribosomal RNA
Source: RNAcentral